This 369-nucleotide unclassified non-coding RNA is filed under the name uncultured Glomeromycotina. Its description in RNAcentral is "sequence contains 28S rRNA gene". The record is from RNAcentral. Lineage: Eukaryota; Fungi; Glomeromycota.
AGAGUUAAACAGUACGUGAAAUUGUUGAAAGGGAAACGAUUGAAGUCAGUCAUGCUAAUAGGGAAUCAACUUGAUGGUUUGUUCCUCCGGGAGCAAUCUUUCUUGUGCACUUCCUUGUUCGGCAGGUUAGCAUCAAUUUCGGUUGUCAUCAAAAAAUUGAGGGAAUGUGACUUCUUUCGGGAAGUGUUAUAGACCUUGAUAUAUAUGAUAACUGGGAUUGAGGAUUGCAGCGGAUGCUUUUGGCUAGUCACCUACCUUCUGACGGUUACCUCGCUUUCGAUAGCUCGCUAACGAUUGUGGGAUUCAACAGUCUAGAUGUCGGAGUGAUCUUAUAUUCGCUAAGGAUGCUGACGUAAUGGCUUUAAACGA